GAGGUUUCAAGUGAAGAGUGUUUUGCUUGGUCGUAGAAUUUAUAUGAUUCUCUUAAGAAAGAGGAUGAAGGAUAAAGAUCAGAUUUUUAAAAUAUAUGGCUGGGCAGAAAUUUCUAAUCAAAGUAUGACGGACUUAGCAAACAUGGUGAAUUCAGAAUUAUCAAUGUUAUUGCACAAAUUACAUGGAGGUCAGUGGCAAAAAAUAUGGUAUUUCUUGUUUCUAAAGUUAUCAUAAACGAGGGUAUCUUAUCUAUACUUGGAUAUCACCACCCACAUUGAAAUGUUUUAACUAGCUUCGUAGAUGAGGCCGAUCAAGCAUCAG
Molecule: long non-coding RNA, 322 nt
Organism: Lathyrus oleraceus (garden pea)
Lineage: Eukaryota; Viridiplantae; Streptophyta; Magnoliopsida; Fabales; Fabaceae
Exons: 3
Source: RefSeq, a predicted model, not a curated record